UACGGGGGGGGCAAGCGUUGUUCGGAAUUACUGGGCGUAAAGGGCUCGUAGGUGGCCAACUAAGUCAGACGUGAAAUCCCUCGGCUUAACCGGGGAACUGCGUCUGAUACUGGAUGGCUUGAGUUUGGGAGAGGGAUGCGGAAUUCCAGGUGUAGCGGUGAAAUGCGUAGAGAUCGGGAAGAACAUCGGUGGCGAAGGCGGUCUGCUGGGCCGUUGCUGACGCUGAGGCGCGACAGCGUGGGGAGCAAACAGG
This 253-nucleotide ribosomal RNA is filed under the name uncultured bacterium. RNAcentral describes it as "partial 16S ribosomal RNA". It matches the Rfam family "Bacterial small subunit ribosomal RNA", at positions 524 to 776 of the family's 1533-position model. The record is from RNAcentral.